GGGGAGCAGGGACCAGGCAUGUGGGCUCCCCCACGCGCCCUCCUGCAGGGCCCUGUGCAGGGGCCCUGCACCUCCUCCAGGAAGCCCUCUGGCCCCGUGGUUCUGCUCCUCACCACCUGCUCUGCAGACGCGGGAGCACCUGCACCAGGACUCCUGGGAAGAAAGUCCAGGGCGUCGAGUGGGUGGAGCCAGAGAAGACCCACCAUGGGCUCUGCGAAUGGACUUGUGCGAACCCCCUAACAGACCAACUCAGCACCCCGUUCGUGCUGCCUGCAGAGAUCCCCUUCCCUUUCCCCACAGGGCAGCUCAUGGACACCCUGCUCCUUUCUGUGGAGCCCUAUCUGGUCACAGCAGCAGGACCCCAAGGACACACUGCUGUGAGCUGUUGAAGGGGGACUGUCUGCUCCCAGCCCAGACCCUCCCAGACGGGAGACUCCUUCCUUCCAGGACCUGCCUGUGAGCGCCUGCUGUGGGCCAGCCCCUGGGCCAGGUGCACAGACAUGUCCCGGAGGCUCCUGGCACAGGCUCCGCCACCCUCAUUGUCCCAGGAGGAGAGGGGCCCUGCUCAGUGCCCACAGUACAGAAGGGGCACGGGGCUCUGGAGGAAAGAGCAGGUGGGAGGUUCAGGACCUGGGAGUGUGGCUUCAGGGUCACACCAGGAAGUCAGAGCAGGCGUCACCAAGGACACCAGUGAGAACAGACCAGCAGGAGCUCCCCUUCCAGGCGGGAGGUGACGCUGUGGUUUCCAUUUGCAUGUCCCUGAGGGUCCGCCCUGCUGAGCAUGGCCCUUGUCCCUUCUGGAUCUGCUUCAGAGCAGUGCCUCCCGGGGCCUCCGCCCAUCAUUUGGCCAGUCACAGCAUUCGAGUUUAGUUCCCAGGGUCUGUUUUCCUGCACGUUUUAAAAUAAAAUGAAAAAAUAAUAAUAAGUCAUCUUUUUAGAUAAAGUACUGGCCUCCAAAGUGUGGUAUACGAGGUGAUCCAUUGUGGGAUCCAAGGAAAGUACAAGAAUGUCUGUUUACAUCUUUAUUUUGAUCAUGAGACCCCCCAGUUGGAGCAUGCGGUAGGGUCUCCCCGGCACUGUGGCCUGAUCUGGGUGUCACACGCGAUAGUGGACGCCCCAACGGGACCCUUCCUAUUUGUAAUUUUCCUAGUGGUUUCCUAUAAAUAGUCGGACAAAGAA
Molecule: long non-coding RNA, 1179 nt
Organism: Suricata suricatta (meerkat)
Lineage: Eukaryota; Metazoa; Chordata; Mammalia; Carnivora; Herpestidae
Exons: 4
Source: RefSeq, a predicted model, not a curated record